RNAcentral lists this ribosomal RNA (482 nucleotides) under uncultured bacterium. Its description in RNAcentral is "partial 16S ribosomal RNA". It matches the Rfam family "Bacterial small subunit ribosomal RNA", at positions 30 to 507 of the family's 1533-position model. The record is from RNAcentral.
AUUGAACGCUGGCGGCAUGCUUUACACAUGCAAGUCGAACGGUAACAGGCCGCAAGGUGCUGACGAGUGGCGAACGGGUGAGUAAUGCAUCGGAACGUGCCCAGUCGUGGGGGAUAACUACUCGAAAGAGUAGCUAAUACCGCAUACGAUCUAUGGAUGAAAGCGGGGGACCGUAAGGCCUCGCGCGAUUGGAGCGGCCGAUGUCAGAUUAGGUAGUUGGUGGGGUAAAGGCUCACCAAGCCAACGAUCUGUAGCUGGUCUGAGAGGACGACCAGCCACACUGGGACUGAGACACGGCCCAGACUCCUACGGGAGGCAGCAGUGGGGAAUUUUGGACAAUGGGCGCAAGCCUGAUCCAGCAAUGCCGCGUGCAGGAAGAAGGCCUUCGGGUUGUAAACUGCUUUUGUACGGAACGAAACGGCUCUGGUUAAUACCCGGGGCUAAUGACGGCACCGGAAGAAUAAGCACCGGCUAACUACGUG